Non-coding RNA from Chelonoidis abingdonii (Abingdon island giant tortoise), 436 nucleotides. The record is from RefSeq and is a predicted model, not a curated record. Lineage: Eukaryota; Metazoa; Chordata; Testudines; Testudinidae.
CAGUCCAAGGAGGGCUGAGGGUAAGGAGACUUCCCCUAGUAAGAGCGUACCCCGAGGGGUGUCACACUGAUGAGAACUCUGCUUGGGUUUGGUUCAGAGCUAUUCCAGAGCACUGAGCAUGUGUCAGCCCCCCAUCAUGUGACCUGCAGGCUCCACUCUGGCAAAGCGCCCUGUCCCUGGGCUUUAGCAUCACUAGCCCCUGCUUAGGGGUCAGUUUAGGGCAAUGGUCCCCAAAAUGUGCGGCAUGACUCCUAGGGGGGCACAGAGGAAUGUUCACGGAGGCACCUCAGGGCCUGAGCCAGUCCCAAUGGAGGGCAGGGAGGAAGCACCACUCAGCCCCACUCUGUCCCAGCUCUUCAGCCACCCUACCCUCAGACUGAGCCCCUGGCCCAGUCACGACCCCCUUACCUGUGUCUGCAUCCCUUGCCACAGCACC